Molecule: long non-coding RNA, 265 nt
Organism: Clupea harengus (Atlantic herring)
Lineage: Eukaryota; Metazoa; Chordata; Actinopteri; Clupeiformes; Clupeidae
Exons: 3
Source: RefSeq, a predicted model, not a curated record
AGGAGGCCUCGUCACUGGCUGAGGAGAUUAUUUAGAAAAAACAAGACUGGGGAUGCUGGUAUACCUGCGAUCCUGGAGCCAAGCCCUGUGUCAGGGGACGUCCCUCAGAUCUCCAGCACAGUAAAGGUGGUUCCCUGUCUGGACACCCCAGGCCCUCUAGUCACCCUAGCUACCCUUGAGUCCUCCACACUGGUCACCCCGGCCUCCCCAGAAACCCCAUCUCCCGGGGCACCCCAAGGAGAGGAGGUCCCCAGCCCGGACAUCC